Molecule: ribosomal RNA, 301 nt
Filed under: uncultured bacterium
Lineage: Bacteria
Description: partial 16S ribosomal RNA
Rfam family: Bacterial small subunit ribosomal RNA
Source: RNAcentral
CAGUCGCCGCGGUAAUACGAAGGGGGCUAGCGUUGUUCGGAAUUACUGGGCGUAAAGCGCACGUAGGCGGAUAUUUAAGUCAGGGGUGAAAUCCCAGAGCUCAACUCUGGAACUGCCUUUGAUACUGGGUAUCUUGAGUAUGGAAGAGGUGAGUGGAAUUCCGAGUGUAGAGGUGAAAUUCGUAGAUAUUCGGAGGAACACCAGUGGCGAAGGCGGCUCACUGGUCCAUUACUGACGCUGAGGUGCGAAAGCGUGGGGAGCAAACAGGAUUAGAUACCCGCGUAGUCCCUGUCUCUUAUAC